Nicotiana tabacum (common tobacco) is the source of this 854-nucleotide non-coding RNA. Lineage: Eukaryota; Viridiplantae; Streptophyta; Magnoliopsida; Solanales; Solanaceae. The record is from RefSeq and is a predicted model, not a curated record.
AUAGAGAGAAAGAGAACCCGAACAGAUUCCUUCUUUUUUGGGGGGCGAAGAGCUCUUUCGGCUUCUGCUUUACUUUCUUUUUCACAAGAAUAGACCCACAAUUUUCUCCUCCAUGGUUGCUACUUAACCACCAUUAGUACACCACCUAAACUCCAUGGAAAUAGGACCCUUUUACACCUGAAACCAAGCCCGAAACCAAUUGAGAACCAGUCCAAAUAGCCACCAUCUUCUCCUUCCGAAAUCACCUCUAAACCCUCCUUAAAAUCGCCCAAACAUCACCAAAAACCAGAUAGAAUUUCCAGUUCAAAAAACGCAAUAACACGGCCUCGAGAACGCUGUAAAAUCAGCUCCAAAAACGUGAAAAAGCAUAGCUCAAAUUCAGCUGUAAAUCAGUCCAAAACCCAACGCCAAUCAUACCUUAAACCACCACAAAGAGAGUCGAGUUUGAGUUUGCCGACACUGUUUUCCGACGUGGUCGCGGGUGUUAGGUCCGUUUGUUGAGUUGCAGAAACUUUAAAGUUGGGACGUAAUCAAUAAAGUUUCAGAAUAUUUGGCUUGGAGUUGAGUGUUAGAGUGGCGUUGGAGCCGGUUAUGGAACUUCGGAGCGAAGAUAUGACAUAUUCAUUUGGUGAUCAUCUUGACGCGUAGGCGCACUUGUUGAGGAGACUUUAUGUGAGCUACAUUCCAGGAUACGCAUCGCAGUCCACCGAAUUUCCAUCGUACUAUUUAUUUUAUGCUAUCUUAUUUACAUUCGGGGCAGAUGUUGUAUUAUUAUUGUACUUCUUAGAAAAUGCUCAUGCACUUGUGAUACCGGGUUUUGGGAUUAUACUAGCUGAUGCUUAUGGUUUCGUAUA